ACGGACUUCGGUCUGGUGGCGAGUGGCGAACGGGUGAGUAAUGUAUCGGAACGUACCUUUCAGUGGGGGAUAACGUAGCGAAAGUUACGCUAAUACCGCAUAUUCUGUGAGCAGGAAAGCAGGGGAUCGCAAGACCUUGCGCUGAUUGAGCGGCCGAUAUCAGAUUAGCUAGUUGGUGAGGUAAAGGCUCACCAAGGCGACGAUCUGUAGCGGGUCUGAGAGGAUGAUCCGCCACACUGGAACUGAGACACGGUCCAGACUCCUACGGGAGGCAGCAGUGGGGAAUUUUGGACAAUGGGGGCAACCCUGAUCCAGCCAUGCCGCGUGAGUGAAGAAGGCCUUCGGGUUGUAAAGCUCUUUCGGCCGGGAAGAAAUCGCAUGGGCUAAUACCCUGUGCGGAUGACGGUACCGGCAUAAGAAGCACCGGCUAACUACGUGCCAGCAGCCGCGGUAAUACGUAGGGUGCGAGCGUUAAUCGGAAUUACUGGGCGUAAAGCGUGCGCAGGCGGUUUUUUAAGACAGGCGUGAAAUCCCCGGGCUCAACCUGGGAACUGCGCUUGUGACUGGAAGGCUAGAGUAUGGCAGAGGGGGGUGGAAUUCCACGUGUAGCAGUGAAAAGCGUAGAGAUGUGGAGGAACACCAAUGGCGAAGGCAGCCCCCUGGGCCAAUACUGACGCUCAUGCACGAAAGCGUGGGUAGCAAACAGGAUUAGAUACCCUGGUAGUCCACGCCCUAAACGAUGUCAACUAGGUGUUGGGUGGGUAAAACCAUUUAGUACCGGAG
This 783-nucleotide ribosomal RNA is filed under the name uncultured Dechloromonas sp. RNAcentral describes it as "bacterial SSU rRNA". It matches the Rfam family "Bacterial small subunit ribosomal RNA", at positions 73 to 851 of the family's 1533-position model. Lineage: Bacteria; Pseudomonadati; Pseudomonadota; Betaproteobacteria; Rhodocyclales; Azonexaceae. The record is from RNAcentral.